UGACUUAGCGGCGGACGGGUGAGUAACGCGUGGGCAACCUGCCUUACACAGGGGGAUAACAAUUAGAAAUGAUUGCUAAUACCGCAUAAGACCCCAGUACCGCAUGGUACAGGGGUAAAAACUGAGGUGGUGUAAGAUGGGCCCGCGUCUGAUUAGGUAGUUGGUGGGGGUAGAAGCCUACCAAGCCGACGAUCAGUAGCCGACCUGAGAGGGCGACCGGCCACAUUGGGACUGAGACACGGCCCAAACUCCUACGGAAGGCAGCAG
RNAcentral lists this ribosomal RNA (267 nucleotides) under uncultured bacterium. RNAcentral describes it as "partial 16S ribosomal RNA". It matches the Rfam family "Bacterial small subunit ribosomal RNA", at positions 88 to 354 of the family's 1533-position model. The record is from RNAcentral.